GUGGAUUAGAUACCCUGGUAGUCCACGCCGUAAACGAUGGAUGCUAGCCGUCGGCAAGCUUGCUUGUCGGUGGCGCAGCUAACGCAUUAAGCAUCCCGCCUGGGGAGUACGGCCGCAAGGUUAAAACUCAAAGGAAUUGACGGGGGCCCGCACAAGCGGUGGAGCAUGUGGUUUAAUUCGACGCAACGCGAAGAACCUUACCAGCUCUUGACAUGUCCGGACGGUUUCCAGAGAUGGAUUCCUCUCAGCAAUGGGCCGGAACACAGGUGCUGCACGGUUGUCGACAGCU
Molecule: ribosomal RNA, 289 nt
Filed under: uncultured bacterium
Lineage: Bacteria
Description: partial 16S ribosomal RNA
Rfam family: Bacterial small subunit ribosomal RNA
Source: RNAcentral